Molecule: ribosomal RNA, 253 nt
Filed under: uncultured bacterium
Lineage: Bacteria
Description: partial 16S ribosomal RNA
Rfam family: Bacterial small subunit ribosomal RNA
Source: RNAcentral
UACGUAGGGUGCAAGCGUUAAUCGGAAUUACUGGGCGUAAAGCGUGCGCAGGCGGUUUUGUAAGUCUGUCGUGAAAGCCCCGGGCUCAACCUGGGAAUUGCGAUGGAGACUGCAAGGCUUGAAUCUGGCAGAGGGGGGUAGAAUUCCACGUGUAGCAGUGAAAUGCGUAGAGAUGUGGAGGAACACCGAUGGCGAAGGCAGCCCCCUGGGUCAAGAUUGACGCUCAUGCAUGAAAGCGUGGGGAGCAAACAGG